Molecule: long non-coding RNA, 1320 nt
Filed under: Oncorhynchus mykiss (rainbow trout)
Lineage: Eukaryota; Metazoa; Chordata; Actinopteri; Salmoniformes; Salmonidae
Description: lncRNA (ENSOMYG00000021902.2)
Source: RNAcentral
AUGUCCUGGAGGGCAAGUAGUGUGCCCCCAGUGAUGCAUUGGGCGGACCACACCACCCUCUGGAUAGCCAUGUGGUUGUGGACGGUGCAGUUGCUGUACCAGGUGGUGAUACAGUCCUUCUGUUCACCUGAUUUAGAAUUCCUCACAAUCAAAUGUCGACCGCAUUAUCUACCAAGGGAAUUCUCUUCGAUUAUAAUCACAGCCGUAUAUAUUCCCCCCCAAGCAGACACAUCGAUGGCCCUGAACAAACUUUAUUUGAGUCUUUGCAAACUGGAAUCCAUAUAUCCUGAGGCUGCAUUCAUUGUAGCUGGGGAUUUUAACAAGGCUAAUCUGAAAACAAGACUCCCUAAAUUGUAUCAGCAUAUCGAUUGCGCAACCAGGGCUGGAAAAACCUUGGAUCAUUGCUAUUCUAACUUCUGCGACGCAUAUAAGGCCCUGCCCCGCUCUCCUUUCGGAAAAGCUGACCACGACUCCAUUUUGUUGAUCCCUGCCUACAGACAGAAACUAAAACAAGAAGCUCCCGCGCUGAGGUCUGUUCAACGCUGGUCCGACCAAUCUGAUUCCACACUCCAAGACUGCUUCCAUCAUGUGGACUGGGAUAUGUUUCAUAUUGCAUCAAACAACAACAUUGACGAAUACGCUGAUUCGGUGAGCGAGUUCAUUAGAACGUGCGUUGAAGAUGUCAUUCCCAUAGCAACGAUUAAAACAUUCCCAAACCAGAAACCGUGGAUUGAUGGCAGCAUUCGCGUGAAACUGAAAGCACGAACCACUGCUUUUAAUCAGGGCAAGGUGACCGGAAACAUGACCGAAUACAAACAGUGUAGCUAUUCCCUCCUCAAGGCAAUCAAACAAGCUAAGCGUCAGUAUAGAGACAAAGUAGAAUCUCAAUUCAACGGCUCAGACACAAGAGGUAUAUGGCAGGGUCUACAGUCAAUCACGGAUUACAAAAAGAAAACCAGCCCUGUCACGGACCAGGAUGUCUUGCUCCCAGGCAGACUAAAUAACUUUUUUGCCCGCUUUGAGGACAAUACAGUGCCACUGACACAGCCCGCAACCAAAACAUGCGGACUCUCCUUCACUGCAGCCGACGUGAGGAAAACAUUUAAACGUGUUAACCCUCGCAAGGCUGCAGGCCCAGACGGAAUCCCCAGCCGCGUCCUCAGAGCAUGCGCAGACCAGCUGGCUGGUGUGUUUACGGACAUAUUCAAUCAAUCCCUAUCCCAGUCUGUUGUUCCCACAUGCUUCAAGAGGGCCACCAUUGUUCCUGUUCCCAAGAAAGCUAAGAUAACUGAGCUAAACGACUCACUUCCGUCAUCAUGA